RNAcentral lists this ribosomal RNA (379 nucleotides) under uncultured bacterium. RNAcentral's name for it is "bacterial SSU rRNA". It matches the Rfam family "Bacterial small subunit ribosomal RNA", at positions 355 to 726 of the family's 1533-position model. The record is from RNAcentral.
UGGGGAAUUGUUCACAAUGGGCGCAAGCCUGAUGACGCAACGCCGCGUGGGGGAUGAAGGUCUUCGGAUUGUAAACCCCUGUCGAAUGGGACGAAAGACUCGCGAGUUAAUACUUCGCGGGAGUGACGGUACCGUUAAAGGAAGCCACGGCUAACUCUGUGCCAGCAGCCGCGGUAAUACAGAGGUGGCAAGCGUUGUUCGGAAUUACUGGGCGUAAAGGGCGCGUAGGCGGCCUACUAAGUCAGACGUGAAAUCCCCCGGNUUAACCUGGGAACUGCGUCUGAUACUGGAAGGCUUGAGUAUGGGANAGGGAUGUAGAAUUUCAGGUGUAGCGGUGAAAUGCGUAGAUAUCUGGAGGAAUACCGGUGCGAAGGCGGCA